UGGGGAAUAUUGCACAAUGGGCGAAAGCCUGAUGCAGCCAUACCGCGUGUGUGAAGAAGGCCUUCGGGUUGUAAAGCACUUUCGUUAGGGAAGAAAGGUGCGAGGUUAAUAACCUCGUACUGUGACGGUACCUAAAUAAGAAGCACCGGCUAACUCCGUGCCAGCAGCCGCGGUAAUACGGAGGGUGCAAGCGUUAAUCGGAAUCACUGGGCGUAAAGCGCGCGUAGGCGGCUUGGUAAGUCAGAUGUGAAAGCCCCGGGCUCAACCUGGGAAUUGCAUUUGAUACUGCCAAACUAGAGUGUAGUAGAGGGAAGUGGAAUUCCGAGUGUAGCGGUGAAAUGCGUAGAUAUUCGGAGGAACAUCAGUGGCGAAGGCGACUUCCUGGACUAACACUGACGCUGAGGUGCGAAAGCGUGGGUAGCAAACAGGAUUAGAUACCCUGGUAGUCCACGCCGUAAACGAUGUCUACUAGUCGUUGGGGGGCUUGUCCCUUUAGUGGCGCAGUUAACGCGUUAAGUAGACCGCCUGGGGAGUACGGCCGCAAGGCUA
RNAcentral lists this ribosomal RNA (549 nucleotides) under uncultured Gammaproteobacteria bacterium. RNAcentral's name for it is "bacterial SSU rRNA". It matches the Rfam family "Bacterial small subunit ribosomal RNA", at positions 355 to 896 of the family's 1533-position model. Lineage: Bacteria; Pseudomonadati; Pseudomonadota; Gammaproteobacteria. The record is from RNAcentral.